This 492-nucleotide ribosomal RNA is filed under the name uncultured bacterium. RNAcentral describes it as "partial 16S ribosomal RNA". It matches the Rfam family "Bacterial small subunit ribosomal RNA", at positions 29 to 507 of the family's 1533-position model. The record is from RNAcentral.
AGUGAACGCUGGCGGUAGGCCUAACACAUGCAAGUCGAACGGCAGCACAGUAAGAGCUUGCUCUUACGGGUGGCGAGUGGCGGACGGGUGAGGAAUACAUCGGCAUCUACUUUUUCGUGGGGGAUAACGUAGGGAAACUUACGCUAAUACCUCAUACGACCUACGGGUGAAAGCAGGGGAUCUUCGUACCUUGCGCGAUUGAAUGAGCCGAUGUCGGAUUAGCUAGUUGGCGGGGUAAAGGCCCACCAAGGCGACGAUCCGUAGCUGGUCUGAGAGGAUGAUCAGCCACACUGGAACUGAGACACGGUCCAGACUCCUACGGGAGGCAGCAGUGGGGAAUAUUGGACAAUGGGCGCAAGCCUGAUCCAGCCAUACCGCGUGGGUGAAGAAGGCCUUCGGGUUGUAAAGCCCUUUUGUUGGGAAAGAAAAGCAGCAGGUUAAUACCCCGCUGUUCUGACGGUACCCAAAGAAUAAGCACCGGCUAACUUCGUG